Molecule: transfer RNA, 74 nt
Filed under: Neolewinella aurantiaca
Lineage: Bacteria; Pseudomonadati; Bacteroidota; Saprospiria; Saprospirales; Lewinellaceae
Description: Lewinella sp. SSH13 tRNA-Gly
Rfam family: tRNA
About the family: Transfer RNA (tRNA) molecules are approximately 80 nucleotides in length.
Source: RNAcentral
GCGGAUAUAGCUCAAUGGCAGAGUUACAGGCUUCCACCCUGAAGAUGUCGGUUCGAUUCCGGCUAUCCGCUCCA